CCUAGCACCUCAUCUGUUCGCAAAACCAGUAGAGAAAAGAGGAGCAGACCGCCGAAUAUGGAAGAAAAAGAAGAAGAAGGAGCAAAGCGCAGAAAGAAAGAUCAAGAGGACAAAGAACAUGGGCUGGAAGGCAUAGAAGGGGAGAUCCUCAGCUAGUUCAAGAGGGAUAUUGACCAGCAAACACCAAUGACUACAAACUAGAUCUGGACGGCGAACUGUGAACAGUUAUCUCCUUCAUUUGUAGGUCAAUAGUGGAGAGAUAUCAUUUCUGGCAGCAGAGAGUAGAAGGCACUUCCAAGACUAGACAGAUCAAGAAGAACUCUUUUUGGUUACCACCAAGUCAAGGGCUUAUGAAAAUCAAUGUUGAUGGUGGUUUUUUGGAGGCAACUCCAAGCUUCCUUUGGCUUCAUAAUUAGAGACUAUCAGAGUUGCUGCUGGGGUGCAGGUUUUGGACCAAUUAAGGCUUCAUCGCCUCUCAAAGCGGAAGCUCAAGCCCUUCUAGAAGCAAUCCUUUUUGCAGAUAGGAUGAAUCUUUCAGACCUCUGUUUUGAAUCAGAUUGUGAUUAUCUCGUUAAAAUGAUCAAUGCUACAGAAGGUUAUGAAGAUCCAGAUACCAUCUUUUGUUGCAAGGAUGUCCAAAAAGUCAUAUCUAGAAGGAAUUACAAGAUUCAGUUCUCUCCGAGGAAAGCAAAUCAAACAGCUCAUGUGGCGGCCAAAUGUGGCUAUUCAGGGGUCUUUUUAAAUCCAGCUCUGCAAGUCCUUUUUGUCUCUCUAAUGUAGUAAAUAUAGACUGGCUUUUUGUAAUCGGACUUGUUAGUAUGGUGUGCUUGUGUUUUUCUGUUUUUUUCCUUUUACCUUUCUUGUUUCUGUUAACAGUGGAGCCUGUAUGUGUAUGUGCCUGUCCUUCUUGUUGUUUUCUCUGUAUUUUUAAUGAAAUAUUAUCAGUUAUUCACCCAAAAAAAAAA
Molecule: non-coding RNA, 965 nt
Organism: Nelumbo nucifera (sacred lotus)
Lineage: Eukaryota; Viridiplantae; Streptophyta; Magnoliopsida; Proteales; Nelumbonaceae
Source: RefSeq, a predicted model, not a curated record